Molecule: long non-coding RNA, 908 nt
Organism: Dermacentor albipictus
Lineage: Eukaryota; Metazoa; Arthropoda; Arachnida; Ixodida; Ixodidae
Source: RefSeq, a predicted model, not a curated record
GAGUCUCGUAGCAUCGCCGGCUCGCGCGCGUGUUGACGUUUGUAUUCGUAGCAUGUGGGUAGUAUAUGCGCCGCCGUGUUUGCAAGAAGAGGAGCUGCUUUGCGGGGGGAAAAAUGAGAUCUGCACUUCGGCAAUCUCGCGAACAGAAUGAGCAACUCGGCGCUUCACUGUUCCGUACUCGGUUGCACGGACAACGCGAGGCAUCUACAGUCUCUACACAACGUUGCUCUGCAUCCAGCUCCACGCGACACUUGCCUUCGCCGCGUGUGGCUUCAACGUAGUGGCCUCCCGGGAGACUGCAAGCACUGCAACAACGCAUCAGUUUUCGUUUGUGGGCGGCACUUCGCCCCGGAUGACUAUGAGCGAUUGUACCAAAAAACGAAGUAUGCCGUUAAAGUGCGCCUGAAGUCGAACGCUGUACCGACGCUCCUUCUUCCGAGCGAAGAGGCAGCUCGGUCCAAUGCAUAUAAGGUGCAUACAUUGGGCAGUCGCGCAAAGACCGGACACCACCAUGUCGUCAAGGUCAAGGCCAGCACCCAAACUGAUGUGGUCACCCGUACCACAACUACGCAGACAAAAACUAAGAGAUUAAGGAGCCAAGGUACAAACACGGGCCUCAAGUGGCGAUUCUGAGGAGAUGGACGGGCAGGGAAAAAAUUUAUCCAGCCAACGCUGAAGAGGCGAGACCUCGAAGGGGCUCCACUGGAGGACAGCGAGCCACCAUCACACUAGCACCUGCUGUGGUACACUGACUGUGGUACCUUGCGUAACGUCGACCACAGGGAACCAGCGGCCUGCUGGUGAUGCCCAACGCUGCCAUCGUGAAGGUGGCACACGAAGAGCGCAUACAAGAAAGCUUCAACCAUUACAUUACUUUCAACAUCAUUAAAGCAGUACUGACGUUGAAA